GCGCCUGGCGCCCGGGAAGAGGUGGUUGUGAGGCAGACGAACUCGCGGCUCUCCGGCUUCCGAGGCUUCCGAGUUGUCGGAGGAAGGGGGCGGCGAGCAAUAAGAACCCGCCGCACCCGGUCCUCAGCGACUCUUCUGACCUCCGCGCGACGUACCCGCCGCCGCCGUUGGCUGGAGCAUUUGACAUUGUGCAGCAAAGAAAUGGUUAUGGAGAAGCCCAGUCCGCUGCUUGUAGGGCGGGAGUUUGUGAGGCAAUAUUAUACUUUGCUGAAUAAAGCUCCGGAAUAUUUACACAGGUUUUAUGGCAGGAAUUCUUCCUAUGUUCAUGGUGGAGUAGAUGCUAGUGGAAAGCCCCAGGAAGCUGUUUAUGGCCAAAAUGAUAUACACCACAAAGUAUUAUCUCUGAACUUCAGUGAAUGUCAUACUAAAAUUCGUCAUGUGGAUGCUCAUGCAACCUUGAGUGAUGGAGUAGUUGUCCAGGUCAUGGGUUUGCUGUCUAACAGUGGACAACCAGAAAGAAAGUUUAUGCAAACCUUUGUUCUGGCUCCUGAAGGAUCUGUUCCAAAUAAAUUUUAUGUUCACAAUGAUAUGUUUCGUUAUGAAGAUGAAGUGUUUGGUGAUUCUGAGCCUGAACUUGAUGAAGAAUCAGAAGAUGAAGUAG
This 661-nucleotide long non-coding RNA is filed under the name Homo sapiens (human). Its description in RNAcentral is "long non-coding RNA NONHSAT200083.1". The record is from RNAcentral. Lineage: Eukaryota; Metazoa; Chordata; Mammalia; Primates; Hominidae.